GGCGGCCGCCGAGAGGGUUCACAAAGGCUCUGGUCCAUUAGAGGAAGGAGGUCCCAGAAUAGCUGGGAAAUUACGAGAACAGCCUCACUGCACGAGUUGGUGAAUGCUGUGAUGGCGAUUGUAUGAUGGACGGUGAUGUUGAAACCAGACUGGGGAAUGACCGCCCCAUCCGGAGAGAAAAGCACCAAGGAUUCUCUUUUGUUGAAUUUGAGUUGGCAGAGUUUGGUCAGAUGAAGACUGGGUGGAGAAGUUUGCUGGGAAGAGGAUAAAGAGGAAGGUGGUUGAGACUUCCCAAAGCAGAAAGCCAGGAGCGCAGCCCAUUUACUGCCUUCUCCAGGAAGCUUUUCUGAAUCCUCCAGUGAGUAAGGGAGAGCCCACUGCUAAAAAAGGCCUAGUCAAAUCCUCAGGUGUACAUGGACAUCAAGAUUGGGAACAAGCCGGCUGGCUGCAUCCAAACCCUCCUGCGUUCCGACGUCGUGCCCAUGACCACAGAGAAUUUUCUCUACAUGUGCACCCAUUUAAAGGACUCGGCUUCAAGGGAAGCAGCUUCCACCGCAUUAUCCCCCAGUUCAUUUGCCAGGGCAGUGAUUUCACAAACCACGGUGGCACCAGGGGUCUGCGCAGGCAUGGCACUAAGUGUCCCAUGGCACAUUUGGCCCUCAUGGAGGCCUCAAAAGGGCAGGACCAGCACCCUCUUCUACGGAGGAAGGAACGGGCACAGCAGAAACAAGGAGAGUCAGCAAUUACCAGCCAGCCAAGGUCCUGGAAGCUGACGUAGAGCUCGUGCCGACGGCAGACCUGCCGGCCGUGGGAGCCGCGGACGUCAUCUGCAGGGACAGAAGGGGCAAGGUCUUUUCUGGGGUUCCUGCUGUGUGCAGCUACUAUGGGGUACCAGGGUGGGGGAUGCCCUGAUGAGCACAUUUGUCAAAUAAAUGAAUGACAGGAAACCA
Homo sapiens (human) is the source of this 950-nucleotide long non-coding RNA. Ensembl annotates it as peptidylprolyl isomerase E like (pseudogene). Its record names the gene PPIEL. NCBI's taxonomy places the organism in Eukaryota, Metazoa, Chordata, Mammalia, Primates, Hominidae. The record is from Ensembl.